Molecule: ribosomal RNA, 288 nt
Filed under: uncultured bacterium
Lineage: Bacteria
Description: partial 16S ribosomal RNA
Rfam family: Bacterial small subunit ribosomal RNA
Source: RNAcentral
GCCUACGGGGGGCAGCAGUGAGGAAUAUUGGUCAAUGGUCGGGAGACUGAACCAGCCAAGCCGCGUGAGGGAGGAAGGUACAGAGUAUCGUAAACCUCUUUUGUCAGGGAACAAAGGCGGGGACGUGUCCCCGGAUGAGUGUACCUGAAGAAAAAGCAUCGGCUAACUCCGUGCCAGCAGCCGCGGUAAUACGGAGGAUGCGAGCGUUAUCCGGAUUUAUUGGGUUUAAAGGGUGCGCAGGCGGGAGAUCAAGUCAGCGGUAAAAUGUCGGGGCUCAACCCGGGCCGG